Molecule: long non-coding RNA, 2280 nt
Filed under: Homo sapiens (human)
Lineage: Eukaryota; Metazoa; Chordata; Mammalia; Primates; Hominidae
Description: non-protein coding MIR155HG:8
Rfam family: mir-155 microRNA precursor family (bases 1174-1238)
Source: RNAcentral
GCUUCCUGUGCGCGGCCGAGCCCGGGCCCAGCGCCGCCUGCAGCCUCGGGAAGGGAGCGGAUAGCGGAGCCCCGAGCCGCCCGCAGAGCAAGCGCGGGGAACCAAGGAGACGCUCCUGGCACUGCAGGUACGCCGACUUCAGUCUCGCGCUCCCGCCCGCCUUUCCUCUCUUGAACGUGGCAGGGACGCCGGGGGACUUCGGUGCGAGGGUCACCGCCGGGUUAACUGGCGAGGCAAGGCGGGGGCAGCGCGCACGUGGCCGUGGAGCCCGGCCUGGUCCCGCGCGCGCCUGCGGGUGCCCCCUGGGGACUCAGUGGUGUCGCCUCGCCCGGGACCAGAGAUUGCGCUGGAUGGAUUCCCGCGGGCAGAGGCAGGGGGAAGGAGGGGUGUUCGAAACCUAAUACUUGAGCUUCUUUGCAAAGUUUCCUUGGAUGGUUGGGGACGUACCUGUAUAAUGGCCCUGGACCAGCUUCCCUGUUGGAGUGGCCAGAGAAGUGUGUAAAACACACUAGAGGGGCAGGGUGGAAAAAGAGACUGCCUUCAAAACUUGUAUCUUUUCGAUUUCAUUUUGAAAAAUAACUACAAAUCUAUUUUAAUUUUACAAAGUUAGACUCAUAGCAUUUUAGAUAUCAAUGUCUUCAUUUAACAGAAGUGAAGAUGGAGCAAACGCUCAAUCAGCGUCUGUAUUUAUUCGCUCCUGUUGUGCCAGGGUGCGUUUUUGCCGAGCGGUUGCCUUUCUUUACUCACAAAACCCCCUUGAUGUCUGUCCUCCACGUUUUACGAGGGAGAGCCGGAUCUUUUGAAGUUUGUAUCAUCUAAAGCAGGUAUAUUGGGAUGACUAUGGAUAGAAUUUAACCUGAAAACACUGAAGUUGACAGCUGACAAAGAUAUAAGAAUCCAAAGUAUGUUAAAAAUUAAGGAGCUGAGGCCCACAGAAGUGAAGUUACUUUUCCAGCAUCACACAGCAGAUCUAGGACCCUGUGUGAUUUGAAAAGGCCAAGAUAACUUGUCUGCAUUUCAAGAACAACCUACCAGAGACCUUACCUGUCACCUUGGCUCUCCCACCCAAUGGAGAUGGCUCUAAUGGUGGCACAAACCAGGAAGGGGAAAUCUGUGGUUUAAAUUCUUUAUGCCUCAUCCUCUGAGUGCUGAAGGCUUGCUGUAGGCUGUAUGCUGUUAAUGCUAAUCGUGAUAGGGGUUUUUGCCUCCAACUGACUCCUACAUAUUAGCAUUAACAGUGUAUGAUGCCUGUUACUAGCAUUCACAUGGAACAAAUUGCUGCCGUGGGAGGAUGACAAAGAAGCAUGAGUCACCCUGCUGGAUAAACUUAGACUUCAGGCUUUAUCAUUUUUCAAUCUGUUAAUCAUAAUCUGGUCACUGGGAUGUUCAACCUUAAACUAAGUUUUGAAAGUAAGGUUAUUUAAAAGAUUUAUCAGUAGUAUCCUAAAUGCAAACAUUUUCAUUUAAAUGUCAAGCCCAUGUUUGUUUUUAUCAUUAACAGAAAAUAUAUUCAUGUCAUUCUUAAUUGCAGGUUUUGGCUUGUUCAUUAUAAUGUUCAUAAACACCUUUGAUUCAACUGUUAGAAAUGUGGGCUAAACACAAAUUUCUAUAAUAUUUUUGUAGUUAAAAAUUAGAAGGACUACUAACCUCCAGUUAUAUCAUGGAUUGUCUGGCAACGUUUUUUAAAAGAUUUAGAAACUGGUACUUUCCCCCAGGUAACGAUUUUCUGUUCAGGCAACUUCAGUUUAAAAUUAAUACUUUUAUUUGACUCUUAAAGGGAAACUGAAAGGCUAUGAAGCUGAAUUUUUUUAAUGAAAUAUUUUUAACAGUUAGCAGGGUAAAUAACAUCUGACAGCUAAUGAGAUAUUUUUUCCAUACAAGAUAAAAAGAUUUAAUCAAAAAAUUUCAUAUUUGAAAUGAAGUCCCAAAUCUAGGUUCAAGUUCAAUAGCUUAGCCACAUAAUACGGUUGUGCGAGCAGAGAAUCUACCUUUCCACUUCUAAGCCUGUUUCUUCCUCCAUAUGGGGAUAAUACUUUACAAGGUUGUUGUGAGGCUUAGAUGAGAUAGAGAAUUAUUCCAUAAGAUAAUCAAGUGCUACAUUAAUGUUAUAGUUAGAUUAAUCCAAGAACUAGUCACCCUACUUUAUUAGAGAAGAGAAAAGCUAAUGAUUUGAUUUGCAGAAUAUUUAAGGUUUGGAUUUCUAUGCAGUUUUUCUAAAUAACCAUCACUUACAAAUAUGUAACCAAACGUAAUUGUUAGUAUAUUUAAUGUAAACUUGUU